UACGUAGGGGGCAAGCGUUGUCCGGAUUCAUUGGGCGUAAAGAGCGUGUAGGCGGCCAGGUAGGUCGGUUGUGAAAACUGGAGGCUCAACCUUCAGAGGUCGACCGAAACCAUCUGGCUAGAGUCCGGGAGAGGAGAGUGGAAUUCCUGGUGUAGCGGUGAAAUGCGUAGAGAUCGGGAGGAACACCAGCGGCGAAGGCGGCCUUCUGGACCAGCACUGACACUCAAGCACGAAAGCGUGGGGAGCAAACAGGG
This 254-nucleotide ribosomal RNA is filed under the name uncultured bacterium. RNAcentral describes it as "partial 16S ribosomal RNA". It matches the Rfam family "Bacterial small subunit ribosomal RNA", at positions 524 to 777 of the family's 1533-position model. The record is from RNAcentral.